CCUACGGGAGGCAGCAGUGGGGAAUUUUGCGCAAUGGGGGAAACCCUGACGCAGCAACGCCGCGUGGGUGAAGAAGCAUCUUGGNGUGUAAAGCCCUGUCGUUAGAGACUAAGGACGGUUGAUUAAGAGUUACUCGUNUUGAANGUAUCUAAAGAGGAAGCCCCGGCUAACUCCG
This 175-nucleotide ribosomal RNA is filed under the name uncultured bacterium. RNAcentral describes it as "partial 16S ribosomal RNA". It matches the Rfam family "Bacterial small subunit ribosomal RNA", at positions 338 to 505 of the family's 1533-position model. The record is from RNAcentral.